GAACGCAUAUUGCGCUCUUUGGUAUUCCGAGGAGCAUGCCUGUUUGAGUGUCAUUUCACCCCUCAAGCUCUGCUUGGUAUUGGGCCACGCCGCGCAAGCGGCCGGCCUCGAAAACAGUGGCGGCGCCAUCUGGGCUCUCAGCGUAGUAAUUCUUCUCGCUGUUGGGCUCCGGUGGUCGUCCGCCAGCAACCCCUAACUUUUACAGUUUGACCUGGGAUGAGGUAGGGAUACCCGCUGAACUUAAG
RNAcentral lists this unclassified non-coding RNA (245 nucleotides) under uncultured Crocicreas. RNAcentral describes it as "sequence contains 5.8S rRNA gene". The stretch from base 1 to 53 matches the Rfam family "5.8S ribosomal RNA", at positions 102 to 154 of the family's 154-position model. Lineage: Eukaryota; Fungi; Ascomycota; Leotiomycetes; Helotiales; Helotiaceae. The record is from RNAcentral.